This 524-nucleotide ribosomal RNA is filed under the name uncultured bacterium. RNAcentral's name for it is "bacterial SSU rRNA". It matches the Rfam family "Bacterial small subunit ribosomal RNA", at positions 772 to 1304 of the family's 1533-position model. The record is from RNAcentral.
ACUAAAUAGAUACCCGGGUAGUCCACGCCGUAAACGAUGGAUACUAGCUGUUCGGAGCAAUCUGAGUGGCUAAAGCGAAAAGUGAUAAGUAUCCCACCUGGGGAGUACGCACGCAAGUGUGAAACUCAAAGGAAUUGACGGGGGCCCGCACAAGCGGUGGAGCAUGUGGUUUAAUUCGAUGAUACGCGAGGAACCUUACCAGGGCUUAAAUGUAGAUUGACAGGACUGGAAACAGUUUUUCUUCGGACAAUUUACAAGGUGCUGCAUGGUUGUCGUCAGCUCGUGCCGUGAGGUGUCAGGUUAAGUCCUAUAACGAGCGCAACCCCUGUCAUUAGUUGCCAGCGAGUCAUGUCGGGAACUCUAACGAGACUGCCAGUGUAAACUGUGAGGAAGGUGGGGAUGACGUCAAAUCAUCACGGCCCUUACGUCCUGGGCCACACACGUGCUACAAUGGUAGGUACAGAGAGCAGCCACUGCGCGAGCAGGAGCGAAUCUACAAAACCUAUCUCAGUUCGGAUCGGAGU